Molecule: long non-coding RNA, 362 nt
Organism: Mya arenaria
Lineage: Eukaryota; Metazoa; Mollusca; Bivalvia; Myida; Myidae
Exons: 3
Source: RefSeq, a predicted model, not a curated record
UGAAGACGGGGUUUUCGGAAAGAACUGCAAUAUGACUUGUGGUUUCUGUAAGAAUGGCGCAGUUUGUGAUAAAGUCAGUGGUAAUUGCACCAGAGGCUGUGACAGGGGACACCGGGGACAUCAAUGUAAAAGUGGUUGUGAUAAACAGACCUUCGGUAAUGAUUGUAUGAAUGUAUGCCAUUGCUAUGAAUGUAACGACGUGGACGGUUCAUGUGGAAUUUAUUCUUGCUACAGCGACUGGAAAGGCGAAUCAUGCUCGGAAUCGAUACACACGAAUGAAUAACAAGCUGAAAGUUCGAAGACUGGCGCAGGAAAUACAGCAUUUGCGGUUGUGUCGACUUUGCUCGUUGUAUCAGUUAUUG